CCUACGGGUCGCAGCAGUGGGGAAUAUUGCACAAUGGGCGCAAGCCUGAUGCAGCCAUGCCGCGUGUAUGAAGAAGGCCUUCGGGUUGUAAAGUACUUUCAGCGGGGAGGAAGGUGUUGUGGUUAAUAACCGCAACAAUUGACGUUACCCGCAGAAGAAGCACCGGCUAACUCCGUGCCAGCAGCCGCGGUAAUACGGAGGGUGCAAGCGUUAAUCGGAAUUACUGGACGUAAAGCGCACGCAGGCGGUCUGUCAAGUCGGAUAUGAAGUCCCCGGGCUCAACCCGGGAACUGCAUCCGAAACUGGCAGGCUUGAGUCUUGUAGAGGGGGGUAGAAUUCCAGGUGUAGCGGUGAAAUGCGUAGAGAUCUGGAGGAAUACCGGUGGCGAAGGCGGCCCCCUGGACAAAGACUGACGUUCAGGUGCGAAAGCGUGGGGAGCAAACAGGAUUAGAUACCCGGGUAGUC
RNAcentral lists this ribosomal RNA (465 nucleotides) under uncultured bacterium. Its description in RNAcentral is "bacterial SSU rRNA". It matches the Rfam family "Bacterial small subunit ribosomal RNA", at positions 338 to 795 of the family's 1533-position model. The record is from RNAcentral.